RNAcentral lists this ribosomal RNA (952 nucleotides) under Alces alces (Eurasian elk). RNAcentral's name for it is "partial 16S ribosomal RNA". It matches the Rfam family "Bacterial large subunit ribosomal RNA", at positions 935 to 2539 of the family's 2925-position model. Lineage: Eukaryota; Metazoa; Chordata; Mammalia; Artiodactyla; Cervidae. The record is from RNAcentral.
GCUUUAAAAUACCAAAAAUAUAAGCAAAUUAUACUGUAUUUUUAAAAGUUAGUCUAAAAAGGUACAGCCUUUUAGAGAUGGAUACAACCUUAACUAGAGAGUAAAAUUUAAUAAUACCAUAGUAGGCCUAAAAGCAGCCACCAAUUAAGAAAGCGUUAAAGCUCAACAAUAAAAUUAUAUAAAUUCCAAAAACAAGAAAUCAACUCCUAGCCCAAUACUGGACUAAUCUAUAAAAAUAGAAGCAAUAAUGUUAAUAUGAGUAACAAGAAGCAUCUUCUCCCUGCAUAAGUUUAAGUCAGUAUCUGAUAAUACCCUGACUAUUAACAGCAAAAUAAGAAUAAUCUAAUUAUUAAUGACUUAUUAAUUGUACUGUUAAUCCAACACAGGAAUGCACUUAAGGAAAGAUUAAAAGAAGUAAAAGGAACUCGGCAAACACUAAACCCCGCCUGUUUACCAAAAACAUCACCUCCAGCAUUACUAGUAUUGGAGGCACUGCCUGCCCAGUGACUAACCGUUAAACGGCCGCGGUAUCCUGACCGUGCAAAGGUAGCAUAAUCACUUGUUCUCUAAAUAAGGACUUGUAUGAAUGGCCAAACGAGGGUUUUACUGUCUCUUACUUCCAAUCAGUGAAAUUGACCUUCCCGUGAAGAGGCGGGAAUGAACUAAUAAGACGAGAAGACCCUAUGGAGCUUUAACUACUUAACCCAAAGAAAUAAACUUAACUACUAAGGAGACAAUAAUAUUCUCUAUGGGUUAACAGCUUUGGUUGGGGUGACCUCGGAGAACAAAAAAUCCUCCGAGCGAUUCUAAAGACUAGACCUACAAGUCGAAUCGUAUAAUCGCUUAUUGAUCCAAAAAUUGAUCAACGGAACAAGUUACCCUAGGGAUAACAGCGCAAUCCUAUUUAAGAGUCCAUAUCGCCAAUAGGGUUUACGACCUCGAUGUUGGAUCA